CUAAUACAUGCAUGUUGAACGGGAUGUAGCAAUACAUUCAGUAGCGAAUGGGUGAGUAACACGUACCUAACCUACCUUUAAGACUGGGAUAACUAUUGGAAACAAUAGCUAAUACCGGAUAUAGUUAUUUAUCGCAUGAUGAGUAAUAGAAAGGAGCUUCACAGCUUCACUUAAAAAUGGGGGUGCGGAACAUUAGUUAGUUGGUAGGGUAAUGGCCUACCAAGACGAUGAUGUUUAGCCGGGCCGAGAGGCUGUACGGCCACACUGGGACUGAGAUACGGCCCAGACUCCUACGGGAGGCAGCAGUAAGGAAUUUUCCACAAUGAGCGAAAGCUUGAUGGAGCGACACAGCGUGCAGGAUGAAGUUCUUCGGAAUGUAAACUGCUGUUAUAAGGGAAGAAAAAAUAGAAUAGGAAAUGAUUUUAUCUUGACGGUACCUUAUUAGAAAGCGACGGCAAACUAUGUGCCAGCAGCCGCGGUAAUACAUAGGUCGCAAGCGUUAUCCGGAAUUAUUGGGCGUAAAGCGUCCGUAGGUUUUUUGCUAAGUCUGGAGUUAAAUGCUGAAGCUCAACUUCAGUCCGCUUUGGAUACUGGCAAAAUAGAAUUAUAAAGAGGUUAGCGGAAUUCCUAGUGAAGCGGUGGAAUGCGUAGAUAUUAGGAAGAACACCAAUAGGCGAAGGCAGCUAACUGGUUAUAUAUUGACACUAAGGGACGAAAGCGUGGGGAGCAAACAGGAUUAGAUACCCUGGUAGUCCACGCCGUAAACGAUGAUCAUUAGUUGGUGGAAUAAUUUCACUAACGCAGCUAACGCGUUAAAUGAUCCGCCUGAGUAGUAUGCUCGCAAGAGUGAAACUUAAAGGAAUUGACGGGAACCCGCACAAGCGGUGGAGCAUGUGGUUUAAUUUGAAGAUACGCGUAGAACCUUACCCACUCUUGACAUCUUCUGCAAAGCUAUAGAGAUAUAGUGGAGGUUAACAGAAUGACAGAUGGUGCAUGGUUGUCGUCAGCUCGUGUCGUGAGAUGUUAGGUUAAGUCCUGCAACGAGCGCAACCCUUUUCUUUAGUUACUAAUAUUAAGUUAAGGACUCUAGAGAUACUGCCUGGGUAACCAGGAGGAAGGUGGGGACGACGUCAAAUCAUCAUGCCUCUUACGAGUGGGGCAACACACGUGCUACAAUGGUCGGUACAAAGAGAAGCAAUAUGGUGACAUGGAGCAAAUCUCAAAAAACCGAUCUCAGUUCGGAUUGAAGUCUGCAACUCGACUUCAUGAAGUCGGAAUCGCUAGUAAUCGUAGAUCAGCUACGCUACGGUGAAUACGUUCUCGGGUUUUGUACACACCGCCCGUCACACCAUGGGAGUUGGUAAUGCCCAAAGUCGGUGAG
This 1381-nucleotide ribosomal RNA is filed under the name Mesomycoplasma hyorhinis. Its description in RNAcentral is "Mycoplasma hyorhinis 16S ribosomal RNA". It matches the Rfam family "Bacterial small subunit ribosomal RNA". The record is from RNAcentral. Lineage: Bacteria; Bacillati; Mycoplasmatota; Mycoplasmoidales; Metamycoplasmataceae.